GUUAAUUGACCUAGCUUGUGAAUCCAAAGCUCAUUCACAAUAUCUCCAGAAGGUUUGAAUCCCAAGCUCAUUCAAAAAAUUUGAGCAGGAACAUAUUGCAUCUGUUUAAUUUGAUUGUAAACAAUUCUUCUUCUUCAUCACAAAUUUCUUGUUUAAUUUGAUUUCUCCAAACAAUAUAAAAACGAUUUGAUUCACUUUAGUCGUAAAGGGAUUCAGAUGAUGGGAGGAGUGAAGAAGUCAUGUGCGCCUCCCCAACCACAUUUGACGACGACCGCCAUCUCUCCGACCAUGCUUGACGAUGACCGCCAUACAAUCUCUUGCCCGUCGUGCCGCCGUUGACCCAUUGUUCUUCUCGUCGUUAUAUUUUCCGACCCCAUGAAGUGUUGUGCAAUCUGAUUUAGAGUGACGUGGUUUAGACAAUUAUAAACCAUAGGAGAAGUAAUUUGGUGCGUUGGAUCAUUUGGAUGGCUUUAAUGGUCUAGAUUUGCUCAACUGUGUGUAACUGUG
This 507-nucleotide long non-coding RNA is filed under the name Medicago truncatula (barrel medic). Its description in RNAcentral is "long non-coding RNA (MTRU_LNC008067)". The record is from RNAcentral. Lineage: Eukaryota; Viridiplantae; Streptophyta; Magnoliopsida; Fabales; Fabaceae.